AACGCACAUUGCGCCCUUUGGUAUUCCGAAGGGCAUGCCUGUUCGAGCGUCAUUAUCACCCCUCAAGCCCCCGGCUUGGUGUUGGAUGGUUUGGUGACAGAGCCCUUGGGCCACGGUCACCCCUCCCAAAGACAAUGACGGCGGCCUCGUUGGACCCCCGGUACACUGAGUUCUUCACCGAACACGUACUGGAUCAAGGGCCCGCGGAGCACGGUCUGCCUCCCCUCAGGGAGAACUUUUUUCUCAAGGUUGACCUCGGAUCAGGUAGGAAUACCCGCUGAACUUAA
This 287-nucleotide unclassified non-coding RNA is filed under the name uncultured Minimelanolocus. RNAcentral's name for it is "sequence contains ITS2". The stretch from base 1 to 52 matches the Rfam family "5.8S ribosomal RNA", at positions 103 to 154 of the family's 154-position model. The record is from RNAcentral. Lineage: Eukaryota; Fungi; Ascomycota; Eurotiomycetes; Chaetothyriales; Herpotrichiellaceae.